This 253-nucleotide ribosomal RNA is filed under the name uncultured bacterium. Its description in RNAcentral is "partial 16S ribosomal RNA". It matches the Rfam family "Bacterial small subunit ribosomal RNA", at positions 524 to 776 of the family's 1533-position model. The record is from RNAcentral.
UACGUAGGGUGCAAGCGUUGUCCGGAAUUAUUGGGCGUAAAGAGCUCGUAGGCGGUUUGUCGCGUCUGCUGUGAAAACCUAAGGCUCAACCUCGGGCCUGCAGUGGGUACGGGCAGACUAGAGUGCGGUAGGGGAGAUUGGAAUUCCUGGUGUAGCGGUGGAAUGCGCAGAUAUCAGGAGGAACACCAAUGGCGAAGGCAGAUCUCUGGGCCGUAACUGACGCUGAGGAGCGAAAGCAUGGGGAGCGAACAGG